UGGUCCUGGCCUUAAAAUCAAUUCCUACCUAACCUACACAUGCAAGUAUCCGCACCCCCGUGAAAAUGCCCCUUAUCCCUUCUGGGCCUAAGGGAGCAGGUAUCAGGCACAAACUCGCCCAAGACACCUAGCCAUGCCACACCCACAAGGGCACUCAGCAGUGACUAAUAUUGAACAUAAGCAAAAGCUUGAUUCAGUUAGGGUAAUUAGAGCCGGCAAAUCUGGUGCCAGCCGCCGCGGUUACACCAGGGGCUUAAACUGAUUUUUAUCGGCGUAAAGAGUGGUUAAAGCACCUAUAAAACUAGGGCUAAACAAAGACUAAAUUGUUUAAAAUUUAUCUUAAGGAAACUCAUACAACGAAAGUUACCCUAUCUAAAUCAACUUGAGUCCACGAAAGCUGAGACAUAAACUGGGAUUAGAUACCCCAUUAUACCCAGCCAUAAACUUUAACUUACACCCAUAAUCGCCUGGGAACUACGAGCAAAGCUUAAAACCCAAAGGACUUGACGGUGCCCCAUAUCCCCCUAGAGGAGCCUGUCCUAUAAUCGAUGAUCCCCGUUGAACCUCACCUCUUCUAGCUAAUCAGCCUGUAUACUUCCGUCGUAAGUUUACCACGUGAGCGAUAACUUAGUAAGUCCAAUGUCCUACACUUAUUUUAUUAUACCAACAAUACGUCAGGUCAAAGUGCAGUAAAUGAAGAGGGAAGAGAUUGGCUACACUUUUUAACAUAAAAGAAAACGAAAGACAAUAAUGAAAUUUUGUCCGAAGGCGGAUUUAGCAGUAAAAAGAAUUCAUAAUAUUUAUUUUAACCCGGCCCUGGGGUGUGUACACACCGCCCGUCACCCUCUUCGAUUUAAUCUAGAUAGUACUUAACAAAAAAUUUCUUCUAAGAAGAGGUAAGUCGUAACAUGGUAAGUGUACCGGAAGGUGUACUUGGAAC
RNAcentral lists this non-coding RNA (940 nucleotides) under Eleutherodactylus martinicensis. Its description in RNAcentral is "partial 12S ribosomal RNA". It matches the Rfam family "Bacterial small subunit ribosomal RNA". Lineage: Eukaryota; Metazoa; Chordata; Amphibia; Anura; Eleutherodactylidae. The record is from RNAcentral.